Molecule: non-coding RNA, 107 nt
Organism: Gossypium hirsutum (cotton)
Lineage: Eukaryota; Viridiplantae; Streptophyta; Magnoliopsida; Malvales; Malvaceae
Source: Rfam
AGCCCAUGAUGAGGUCACAUUCUCAAUAGAUUAUUAAAUAUUUCCCAUGCAUCAUAUAAUGUCUCUAAGUGAAUUUGAGCAAAAGAAGAGAUGUCAUUUCUCAACUU